CUUUUUGAUAAUAAUUUAAAGUCUAACCUGCCCACUGAAAAAUUUAAUGGCCGCGGUAUUUUAACCGUGCAAAGGUAGCAUAAUCAUUAGUUUUUUAAUUGAAAGCUUGCAUGAAUGGUUGAAUGAGAAAAUUNCUGUCUCUAAAUAAUUUUAGAAUUUUAUUUUURVGUUAAAAAGCUUAAAUUUUAUUAAAAGACGAGAAGHCCCUAUAGAGUUUUAUAAAAAUUUUUAUUUUUAUUAUUUAGAAUUAAUUGGAUAAUAAUAAUUUUUAUUUAAUUGGGGUGAUUAAAAAAUUGAAAAAACUUUUUUUUAUAAUUACAUUGAUUUAUGAAUAAUUGAUCCUUAAUUUAAGAUUAUAAGAAAAAAUUACCUUAGGGAUAACAGCGUAAUUUUUUUUGAGAGUUCUAAUCGAAAAAAAAGGUUGCSACCUCGAUGUUGGAUUAAAAUUAAUUUUUGGUGUAGAAGCUAAA
This 470-nucleotide ribosomal RNA is filed under the name Nanophyes brevis. RNAcentral's name for it is "partial 16S ribosomal RNA". Lineage: Eukaryota; Metazoa; Arthropoda; Insecta; Coleoptera; Brentidae. The record is from RNAcentral.